Molecule: ribosomal RNA, 442 nt
Filed under: uncultured bacterium
Lineage: Bacteria
Description: partial 16S ribosomal RNA
Rfam family: Bacterial small subunit ribosomal RNA
Source: RNAcentral
CCUACGGGAGGCAGCAGUAGGGAAUCUUUCACAAUGGGCGAAAGCCUGAUGGAGCAACGCCGCGUGCAGGAUGAAGGCCUUCGGGUUGUAAACUGCUUUUAUAAGCGAGAAAUAUGAUGGUAACUUAUGAAUAAGGAUCGGCUAACUACGUGCCAGCAGCCGCGGUCAUACGUAGGAUCCGAGCAUUAUCCGGAGUGACUGGGUGUAAAGAGUUGCGUAGGUGGCAUAAUAAGUAGCUAGUGAAAUCUGGUGGCUCAACCAUUCAGACUAUUAGCUAAACUGUUAAGCUCGAGACCGUUAGGGGUAACUGGAAGUUCUAGUGUAGGAGUGAAAUCCGGAGAUAUUAGAAGGAACACCAAUAGCGUAGGCAGGUUGCUGGGACGGUUCUGACACUAAGGCACGAAAGCGUAGGGAGCAAACGGGAUUAGAUACCCUUGUAGUC